Molecule: ribosomal RNA, 431 nt
Filed under: uncultured bacterium
Lineage: Bacteria
Description: partial 16S ribosomal RNA
Rfam family: Bacterial small subunit ribosomal RNA
Source: RNAcentral
AACGAACGCUGGCGGCAUGCCUAACACAUGCAAGUCGAACGAGACCUUCGGGUCUAGUGGCGCACGGGUGCGUAACGCGUGGGAACCUGCCCUUAGGUUCGGAAUAACUCCCCGAAAGGGGUGCUAAUACCGGAUAAUGUCUUCGGACCAAAGAUUUAUCGCCUCUGGUUGGGCCCGCGUUGGAUUAGCUCGUUGGUAGGGUAAAAGCCUACCAAGGCGACGAUCCAUAGCUGGUCUGAGAGGAUGAUCAGCCACACUGGGACUGAGACACGGCCCAGACUCCUACGAGGGGCAGCAGUGGGGAAUAUUGGACAAUGGGCGAAAGCCUGAUCCAGCAGUGCCGCGUGAGUGGUGAAGGCGUUAGGGUUGUAAAGCUCUUUUACCCGCAAUGAUAAUGACAAUACCGGGAGAAUAAGCUCCGGCUAACUCCG